RNAcentral lists this ribosomal RNA (603 nucleotides) under Stegodyphus mimosarum. Its description in RNAcentral is "eukaryotic small subunit ribosomal RNA". It matches the Rfam family "Eukaryotic small subunit ribosomal RNA", at positions 1 to 605 of the family's 1831-position model. Lineage: Eukaryota; Metazoa; Arthropoda; Arachnida; Araneae; Eresidae. The record is from RNAcentral.
GUAGAUGAUCCUCCUGGUUGUCAUAUGUUAAUCUCAAAGAUUAAGUAUUGCACGUCUAAGUAAAUGCCCGAUUAAAGCGAAACCGAGGAUGGGUCAUUAAAUUGUUUAUGGUUCGUUGAAUCGUGGCUUACUAGUUGAAUAACUGUGGCAAUUCUCGAGCUGAUACAUACAAUAGAGCUCCGAUCCUUCAGGGACGAGUGCUUUUAUUUCACCAAAACCGAUCGUCCCUCGUGUCCGUAUUGUGUGGUGACUCUGUUAACCUUUAAGCUGUUCUCAUGGACUCAUCCUGUCGAUGUGUCUUUCAAAUGUGUGUUUUAUCGGCUGUCGGUGGUAGGUUACACACAUAUCGUGGUCUUAACGGAUGACGGGGAAUCAAGGUUUGAUUCCAGAGACGGAGUCUAAGUAACAGCUAACACAUCCAAGGAAGACAACAAGUGCGCAAAUCACCCACUCCCAAAACGGAAAAAUAGUAACAAAAAAUAACAAUACGGGAGUCUUUUGAGAACCCGUAACUGCAAUGAGUACACUCUAAAUCAUUUAACGAGGAUCAGUUGCAUGGCUAAUCUGUUUCCAAAAGCGGCGGUAAUUUCAGUAGCUUAUAUU